CUAUUACAAUGAAGAGUUUGAUCCUGGCUCAGGAUGAACGCUAGCGACAGGCUUAACACAUGCAAGUCGAGGGGCAGCAUAAGGUAGCAAUACCUUGAUGGCGACCGGCGCACGGGUGAGUA
RNAcentral lists this ribosomal RNA (122 nucleotides) under Butyricimonas hominis. RNAcentral's name for it is "partial 16S ribosomal RNA". It matches the Rfam family "Bacterial small subunit ribosomal RNA", at positions 1 to 112 of the family's 1533-position model. Lineage: Bacteria; Pseudomonadati; Bacteroidota; Bacteroidia; Bacteroidales; Odoribacteraceae. The record is from RNAcentral.